Apis dorsata (giant honeybee) is the source of this 115-nucleotide long non-coding RNA. RefSeq lists it as uncharacterized. The transcript has 3 exons. NCBI's taxonomy places the organism in Eukaryota, Metazoa, Arthropoda, Insecta, Hymenoptera, Apidae. The record is from RefSeq and is a predicted model, not a curated record.
AUAUUAUUAUAAUGAUAUUUUUAUUGUUUUAUUUAAAAGAAUUUGGCAAAUAUAUUAUUCACUUGUUUAUCAAAAACAUGUCUUAUAGAAUACAAUUUCAAUCUGUUCCGUGAAU